RNAcentral lists this microRNA precursor (205 nucleotides) under Oryza nivara. RNAcentral describes it as "MIR812 microRNA precursor family". It matches the Rfam family "MIR812 microRNA precursor family". The record is from Rfam by way of RNAcentral. Lineage: Eukaryota; Viridiplantae; Streptophyta; Magnoliopsida; Poales; Poaceae.
AAUAAGUGCAGUCAUGAGUUUCCGCUCCCAACUUUAAUCGUCCGUCUUAUUUGAAAUUUUUUUAUGAUUAGUAUUUUUGUUGUUAUGAUAUGAUAAAACAUGAAUAGUACUUUACUCGUGGCUUAUUUUUUAAAGUUUUUUCAAAAUUUUUUAAAAUAAAACGAACGAUUAAAGUUGGACACGGAAACUCAUGGCUGCACUUAUU